This 105-nucleotide small nucleolar RNA is filed under the name Capsicum annuum. Its description in RNAcentral is "Plant small nucleolar RNA R71". It matches the Rfam family "Plant small nucleolar RNA R71". Rfam says of the family: R71 is a member of the C/D box family of snoRNAs containing the C (UGAUGA) and D (CUGA) box motifs. Multiple nearly identical copies of this snoRNA have been identified in Arabidopsis, and it is thought to function as a 2'-O-ribose methylation guide for 18S ribosomal RNA. The record is from Rfam by way of RNAcentral. Lineage: Eukaryota; Viridiplantae; Streptophyta; Magnoliopsida; Solanales; Solanaceae.
UGUUGGUGAUGUGGACAAUCUCGAAGAAGAGCCUUGAAGCAUUCCCAAGCAUGAUAGAGCUUUUCAUUAGGUUUUUGUUUGAAGCUUACUAUCUCACUACAAAGU